GACGAACGCUGGCGGCGUGCUUAACACAUGCAAGUCGAACGAAGUGGCGAAAGGGUGUGUAAUGCGUAAUCAACCUGCCCUUCAGAGGGGGACAACAGUUGGAAAUGACUGCUAAUACCGCAUAUGGAAGGAGGGGAUUGCGUCUGAUUAGCUAGUUGGAGGGGUAACGGCCCACCAAGGCGAGGAUCAGUAGCCGGUCUGAGAGGAUGAACGGCCACAUUGGGACUGAGACCCUGCCCAUACUCCUACGGGAGGCAGCAGUGGGGCAUCUUCCGCAAUGUACGAAAGUCUGACGGAGCAACGCCGCGUGAGUGAUGACGGCCUUCGGGUUGUAAAGCUCUGUUAAUCGGGACGCGGUACCGGAAUAGAAAGCCACGGCUAACUACGUGCCAGCAGCCGCGGUAAUUC
RNAcentral lists this ribosomal RNA (408 nucleotides) under uncultured bacterium. RNAcentral's name for it is "partial 16S ribosomal RNA". It matches the Rfam family "Bacterial small subunit ribosomal RNA", at positions 28 to 526 of the family's 1533-position model. The record is from RNAcentral.